RNAcentral lists this transfer RNA (75 nucleotides) under Streptomonospora salina. RNAcentral's name for it is "tRNA-Pro". It matches the Rfam family "tRNA". Rfam says of the family: Transfer RNA (tRNA) molecules are approximately 80 nucleotides in length. Their secondary structure includes four short double-helical elements and three loops (D, anti-codon, and T loops). Lineage: Bacteria; Bacillati; Actinomycetota; Actinomycetes; Streptosporangiales; Nocardiopsidaceae. The record is from RNAcentral. RNAcentral also lists the same sequence under 2 other names.
CGGGGUGUAGCGCAGCUUGGUAGCGCGCUUCGUUCGGGACGAAGAGGUCGUGGGUUCGAAUCCCGCCACCCCGAC